AUGCUCACUUUGGCAGCAUAUACACUAACACUGGAACGCUGCAGAGAAGAUUCGUUUGGCCCCUGAGCAAGGAUGACGUGCAAAUUCACAAAGCGUUCCAUGAAAAA
Suricata suricatta (meerkat) is the source of this 107-nucleotide small nuclear RNA. The record is from Ensembl. NCBI's taxonomy places the organism in Eukaryota, Metazoa, Chordata, Mammalia, Carnivora, Herpestidae.